UCACCUACGGGGCGCAGCAGUGAGGAAUAUUGGUCAAUGGGCGGGAGCCUGAACCAGCCAAGCCGCGUGAAGGAAGAAGGCGCCAGGCGUCGUAAACUUCUUUUGUCGGGGAACAAAGGGCGCCACGCGUGGCGUUGUGAGUGUACCCGAAGAAAAAGCAUCGGCUAACUCCGUGCCAGCAGCCGCGGUAAUACGGAGGAUGCGAGCGUUAUCCGGAUUUACUGGGUGUAAAGGGAGCGUAGACGGCUGCGCGAGUCAGAAGUGAAAGCCCGGGGCUCAACCGCGGGACUGCUUUUGAAACUGUG
RNAcentral lists this ribosomal RNA (305 nucleotides) under uncultured bacterium. RNAcentral describes it as "bacterial SSU rRNA". It matches the Rfam family "Bacterial small subunit ribosomal RNA", at positions 335 to 637 of the family's 1533-position model. The record is from RNAcentral.